CAGCCGCCGCGGUAACACGAAGGGGGCUAGCGUUGCUCGGAAUCACUGGGCGUAAAGGGUGCGUAGGCGGGUCUUUAAGUCAGGGGUGAAAUCCUGGAGCUCAACUCCAGAACUGCCUUUGAUACUGAAGAUCUUGAGUUCGGGAGAGGUGAGUGGAACUGCGAGUGUAGAGGUGAAAUUCGUAGAUAUUCGCAAGAACACCAGUGGCGAAAGCGGCUCACUGGCCCGAUACUGACGCUGAGGCACGAAAGCGUGGGGAGCAAACAGGAUUAGAUACCCCCGUAGUCCCUGUCUCUUAUAC
This 301-nucleotide ribosomal RNA is filed under the name uncultured bacterium. RNAcentral describes it as "partial 16S ribosomal RNA". It matches the Rfam family "Bacterial small subunit ribosomal RNA", at positions 509 to 807 of the family's 1533-position model. The record is from RNAcentral.